UCAGGAUACAUAGAAAGACACGUAUACUCAACAUUUCCCAAGAUUAUGUCAAAGACAAUAAUCACUUGGAUGAUUUUCUCCUCAUUUGAAUGGAAAGCUUCAGAGAUGUUCUAUAUUGCUGCAAAACAAUCAUAACUGAGCAAAACUGAACUGUUCAAAAUAGCCAAAAUAUAAGAUGUAAUGGGAAAUUAAACUAAAUUUGAUCCCCAUAGGUAAAGAGAAUGCAUUUAUUACUCAUUUGGAAAGGGACAAAGGAAAAGAAGAAAUGGGUAGGCACAAAUAUUUCAGGAUAUUUGUCUGAAGCACAGGAUUUUGCAACUGUUCAAAUUGUGAUACAAAUAUGAAUUUUGUAGUUUAUCUUUAAUAAUAACUGGUCUAUUCUCUUCUCUUGUUUUUAAUUCUGAAAGAAGGAGGAUUAUGAUGCUUUUCAGGAACAGAACCAGCUGUGGUUUGAUCUAUCAUCCGAUACAUCCCAACAGUGGGAAAUACAUCUUACUUGAUUGAUGAAAAUAAUAAUAUACUCGUCUGCUGGAGAAAACAAAUGUCUACUGAAAUUGGAUAAUGACCUAUCCUGCCAUCAUGCUCAGAGAGUCCCGGGCAGGGGCGCAGGAUGCCCCCUGAGAGGUUCGAGAAUCUGAGAGUGGGGAGGACCUUACCCCACUUCCCAAACCAGGUUCAGGAGCUAUAUUGGGCUCUUCAUAUGACAUGCUAUGAGAGACCAGUUCAUCCCUGUGCUCCUGAGCUUGGAGCUUGUUCACACAGCAGCCUUUGCAGAUCAGCACUCCUGCCUCAGUGACAUCAUUGCCCAUGACAGACCUCGGGAAUUGUUAUUUUAAAGGAAAGGAGUAUGUUGCAGAAAUAAGAAGUAAGGAAGGUUGCUGCAAAGACCCAUCUCAUAUUUCAUCCAUUGAAAUUUCUUAAAUGUCAAGUCUGGACGUUUCUUUGUUAAUAAACAUUUCUAUAUUUCUGAGGAAUUUGGA
Herpailurus yagouaroundi (jaguarundi) is the source of this 980-nucleotide long non-coding RNA. RefSeq lists it as uncharacterized. The record is from RefSeq and is a predicted model, not a curated record. The transcript has 2 exons. NCBI's taxonomy places the organism in Eukaryota, Metazoa, Chordata, Mammalia, Carnivora, Felidae.